This 2285-nucleotide long non-coding RNA is filed under the name Octopus vulgaris (common octopus). Lineage: Eukaryota; Metazoa; Mollusca; Cephalopoda; Octopoda; Octopodidae. The record is from RNAcentral.
AACACAUACCCCCUUCGGGAAAAGAAAAAAAAUAAUUAAAGGUGCAAAGGAGACCCGAUGCUUUUUUUAUUAAGGGUCGAAAGUAAUAAGUGUCGACGGUGGCGGAUUUACUUUCGUCAGGUAAGUAGCAGAAAUGGCGGUCGGCAGCAACCUCGACUACAUUAUUUUCCUCUCUCUCUCCAUUCGGCCCUGUUUCUAACUCUCUCUUUUUUAUCCUUCUCCGCUUCAUCCCUUCCUCCGUCUACCUUUAUACUUUCUUUCUCUCUCUCUCUUUCCAUUCGUAUUCAACUUUCUCCUCAUCCCUCUCCUCCGCUUGCCGUCAAUAGUUCAUCUCUCUUUCUUUCCCUCUCACUUCAUUCGGUUCUCUUCUAACUUUCUCUUCCUCAUCCCUUUACUCCAGUUGAUUUACAUUCCUUUCUUUCUCUCUCUCCUCUUCCUCUUACUAUCCUCCCUCUCAUUAACUCCUAAGCUUUCACCACUGUAUCCCAAUCACAAUUACCUGCUGCUCAACCCUCCCUUCCUUUCUCUCUCUCUUUACCAUGUUACUUAUCUCCCUCCCUCUCUCAAAUUCUUUAUCUGUCUUCAGGCAACCGCUUUCCUCACCCUUCUCUCCUUUAAACUCCCAUCGCUAACCUUAAUCACUUCUCUUUAUCACUCGCAUUUCUUUUCCCUUCUCCAGUUCUUAUCUUAGCCUCUUUUCUUUUCCUCACACCUUACUCCACUUCCUAUCUGACUUAGUCUCUUUCCCUUUUCCUCCUACCACCUCUCAACUUUGUCAACCAUCCUAAUGGAGCCAGUCUGGCAUUCACCCUCCUACCCCCUCUCUCUCUUACACAUAUUCACUCCCACCCCCGUGAUUCCGUUACUCAAUGCUUCCUCUCGGACUUUCUCUUCUUCCUACUAAGAACAUUUCUUCUCAACCACAUUUCUCUCUCAUUUCUACAUUUUCCUUUAUUAAUAAUAUAUCGUCACCUGUAAUCAUUUCUUUCCUCUCUCUUUUUUUUUUUGUUGUUUAUUUUCAUCACAUCUAUUCAAGUUAAACCAACUUUUAAAAUUGUUUAAAUUAGCACUUCUCAAUCGGAUAAUCAUUCACAUGACCUUUUCCUCUGAUUCUUUGAACCUUUAUCUCUCUCUCUCUCUCUCUCUUCCCUUCUAUCCAUCUCCCCUCAUAUAUAUUAUUUUCCCCCCUCUAUCCAUCCAUCCACCCCCUAUCAUUUUUAUAUUUUCGGCUACACUGGCCUCGUUUCGUUUUUUCAUACUUUUUUCUUCAUUACAAUUUCAUUCUUCCUUUCUUUCACCUUUCUCUUAGAGAAGUCAGUCAAUCAAUUUACUGAUGUUUUUCAAUUGGGCCAGUAGCAGCAGUAGUAGUAAUAAGCCAGCUUGCAGAGAGAGAGAGAAGAGAAGAGAAGAGAGGCAGGAUGAUGAUGAUGGGAGCGGUGAUGGCGGUGCAAAUAAUAAUAAUCUGAAAUAAAAGAAAAGAGAGAGAGAGACUACAAUAAAUAUGUUUAGAGGGGGAAUAAGAACAAACAAGGACUUUAAUAGAAGAGUUCAGAUGAAGACGAAGAAGAAGAAAGUUCUCCCUUGCUCGGAACAGAACAAGGCGGGUAAGCCGAUGUCACGCUUUUUUAUUGGUCCAUUUCCUAGUCACGUGGAGCCACGAGCGGCUUUCGUCGUCGUUGUUGACCCCAAUGUAAAGAACCGGAAGUCGUCCCGUCCACCAAACAUGGCAGAUGCUCGCUCAUUUCUUUACCCAUUCACCACCCAUUCUCUCUCUUUCUCUCUCUCUUUCUCUCCCUCCGCUCCACAGUCGUACCUCUCAAUUUAAUCACCCACCCUAAUCUCUGUAUAAUUUUACUUUCUUCUCUUGAUGAUAUCGCAUCAUUGUCAUCCAACUUGUACUCUUCUUCACCUUAGCCGCACCUCUAUCCUAUCUCUCUUCCGACCCCACCUAACCGCUCGAUCCUCUCUUGUCACCCCUAUAACCUACCCCGUCUCUCUUUCUUUCGCAUCCUUAGUAACCCUACCAUCCCCCACCCCUAUUAAUAUACCACCUUACCUUACACUUUUCUUUCCAUCCUAUCUAUUUCUCCUAAAAAAAACACUUCUUAUUCUCUUUUGCCAGGAGAAACAGCGAAGAAGAGGAACACACGAGGGGGAGAUAACUGUCUGCCGUUUGUUUUGUUUGUUAGUGAAUUAACCGAUUGUCGGAAGAGAAAGAGAAACCCAAGUCUUAUCGGCUCUUUAUACCCAGUCAGUCAGUCAAUCAGCCGACGAAGGAACCCGAC